Molecule: long non-coding RNA, 3150 nt
Filed under: Homo sapiens (human)
Lineage: Eukaryota; Metazoa; Chordata; Mammalia; Primates; Hominidae
Description: HSALNT0319336
Source: RNAcentral
UUUUCAAAUGCAAUCAAGGCUUCCUAUAUACGGGCGGAAAGGCGGCUUCCUCCGCUGAGAAAGCUGAAGGUCCUUACCUGCGGCGUACGGACUGCUCUGGUGGUCCCUGAGGGUGCCCAGGCUGCAGGAUCCCGGCGUGAGGGAAGGGCAGCCGGACGUGGCCCCAAAAGUGGUCCUUAUCGGGUUAUACUGGAAGCCACUGGCCUGGCUGCAGGAACUGAAGUCAGCAUAGGCUGAAGCCAGGCUCGAGGUGUCCAUCCCAGCCAUACAGGACUCGUAGGCAGAGGAAUUGAGGGUUCUCACAACCAAUUGAAAGAGAAUAAAACAUUCUCUUGCUUCAUAACCAAAGUGCUGCUCACACUUACAGCAACCUUUGGAAGGGGAAUCCUGGCUAUUGAUGUCCCUGGAAAGAGAGUGGUAGAAGAAAAGAAAUUGAAGACAUGGAAGAAAGAUGAAAACGCUGGCUACUAAAUACCUAUGUGUGGUUACUGAGUGUGGUAUACUUGGACACCGAGCUCCCCCACCCAUCAGAUGUCACAAAGAGUCCUCUUACUCUUGGAUAAUUUCAAAUCAAACUGACCUCCCCAGGUAAGCCCCUUGUCACUUUCAGAAGAAUCCCUUUUAAUGUGUGCUCCACUAAGAUUUUAAACUCAGAAACUCAAGACUUUAUUAAGUUGCUACACUUUCAAGCUCAGUAGGACAUUUUGACUUGGAAGGGAAAUUACUUGGUAAAAUGACGAGCUAUUCAUUUGCCUCGGAAUAGGAGGUUUCAGAGAAUGUAGAAUUUUCAGUUUUAAAACUGAGACAGUCUCAGCAUAACUGGGUUGGUUGAUCACCCUAUUCUAACAUCAUUUAUGACACCCAAUUGGCCUAAUGAAAUUGGCACACAAAAACUAACUUGUGAAGGCAAACAACUUUCAUAGAAAUAAUUUACUGAAACUGCAAGGGAAUUCUCUGAGCCCUCACAUUCGAGAGGCACAGAAUCGAACAGAUCAUCCAAGCAGAUUUCUUUAAAUUGGUUGGAAGUGCACAGCUCUUGUUUCGGCAUCAAUAGAUGUGUUCAGUUUCAACUAAGCAAUUCACUAACUGCAUUGAUUUUUAAGGCCAAGCUGAAGGUAUUGAGAAAAUAUCCAGAUGACACAGAAACUGGAAUGCUCAGAGACUGAUGAACAAAGGGAGAAUUUUGCUCCUGUUGCUUAUUCCUGGGACACCUCUAGCUGGGAAUACAUAUCCCAGGGCUGUUAGUAGUUUUAACCUUUCUUUGGCCACUUGAUGGUCGAACCAUUCUAGUACAUCCCUGUGCCUAAGGGCUCUCAGAAUACUCUGGGAAUACAAGUUCGUGCUCAAGGUCCAACAGCUGUCAGAGCAGAUGGCUGGGGAUUUGUUUACUGUGGUCCUAAGUAUUACCCUUUAGCUCUAAGGCACUGGGAACAAUUUGACAAAUUUGAUUAACUGAGAACAAUAUGAUGCUUGCCUGGAAAGCUCACUCCACACUUUCACAGAGUUCCUUAUGUUCUUUUCAUGGUCUGAGGAUACAGGAUGAUAUUAGCUACCACCUCAGUCCAAUGAAACUAUCAGAGAAAACAAAAAAGUCACCCUUGGCUACCCCUUUUGUUUUACAACUGAAUGUUUGUGGUUCACAUGUACAGCCAGCUGUUCUAUCAGAGAUGCUCAGAGCAUACCUAGUCCUGCCUUUAAGAAAAAGAAAUGUGACUUCAUGUUCCAUGGCACUCUAUAGCUUAUUUGUCAAUUACAAUCUGUGUCUGCUUUGUGAAACUAAAAAUAAAUAGUUAAUCUGCUGGAAAAUCUUAUUCUACCUUCCCAACUUGCCUCUGUUUUUCGUCCUCUCAACUUCCAGUAGUUUCUUUGGUGAACAUCUCACGGACGGCUUGCAAAGCAUUUUGUGCUUUGAGAUGGCGUGUAUAUCCCUGGGUCUGUGAAAGGCCACUGCUGCAGGGUGGGGAGACAAUAGUCAGCUCUGGGAAGUCUGUGGGAAUUCCUGAGGGAGCUGCAAGUUACUAUGAAUAGCCCGGCAUUCGAAGAAGAUUUGCAGAGGAGUCUCCUGCUGUGCCCUCUAGCUCUCUACUUGAUGGAGACAAACCCAGGGCCUGAGAGGUUGGGAAGGGCUCAGGGAGGACGCCCAUUAGGGGACAGGCUUUCUUGUGUCCAGAUUCCACUUGGGUGACCCUGGGAAGAGAGACUGCUGGCUCUUUUCCGGAGCCACAAUGCUCCAUUUACAAGCUGCAAUUAGUCGCAAGCAAAAUUUGUGCAUCCACUACUAACUGUCAGCUCAAGAGGUUGAAAGUUCAGUCCUGGGGAGGUCAGGACGUCUUCCAAGGGACGGAUGACUUUGCUUACAACCUCCCCUCCCCCAGUACAGUGGGGACCCUUCUGUAGGGGAGAGAACCACAUUCCAUAGAGGGAUGCCUGCAAAACUGAAUGAUCUAUGCCAGACAGGCUCAUGGUUCUGGGACUAGGCAUAGUAGGCAGAUGUACCCGUUAUACAGUGACUUUUCUACAGCAGAAUAUUGACUUAAUUUAUAAUAAAUAUAGCCAUUUGAGAAGAGCAAGGCAAGUAAUGCUGUAGUGCUGUUAGGAUUUAGCUGCUAUUUCAAAGUUCAGCCAGUUUUGCUUGCAUAUUCCAUGUGGAAUAAAAAAGCCAGAAAGUCCCAGAAAAAAAAUGAACUGUUCUUUGCCAAAUCAAAAUGUGUAAAUAGUUCUUCUGAGAGCAUAACAAAGGGUCUAUUUUGCUUUUAGACACCAGAGCCAGAAACAGGAAAAGGCUACAAUUAACUAACUGAAGCACAAUGUGAAGUUAAUCAAUAAUGGAACGAUUAUGACGAAGAUGCCAUACAUUAACUCUACCUAGACAUGAGUGCUGCUUUCAGAGCAUGAACAUUCUUUCAAAUUCCAGAUACCACUUUUUCCCUUGUGAGGCUGCAUUUUAAUUUUCCACUGUCUCCUCUAUUCUCAUUUGCAAUCCUCUGAAUCUCACUGUAAACUGUGACUAGAUUCCUCCUCCCCCAUUUGUGGUGUGUGAUGUUGGAAUCCCUGCGUUGCUCUUCUGAGAAACAGAGAAGACUUCCAUUUGGAGACUGAGCUGACAAGGAUUGAAUUCUUUAUUUAUUUUAUUUUAUUUAUUUAUUUUUU